AUCAUCUGUAAUGGAAAAUGUUAAGUACUUAACGCAAUUAUUUUUCUCAAAAAUUAGCAAAGUUAGACAUGAUAUACAAAUUUUAAACAAAUGGCUGCAAUUACACCACAAUUUUACUAGUCCCAUUUGAAUGGAUUACAUGUCUGAAAGACCAUCAACUUAAGUGCUUCUGAAUCCAUGCCGUGGUGUGCUACUUACCACUUGCCAACAAAAGACUUCAAAAGCAUUUUAUAUUCUUAUGGGGAAAUACAUAUAUACAGAGAGAUGAACCACCUAAAUGACAGGGCUGGACUAGACAGUGUAAAUGUUAUGUGGUUUGUAUUUGUUAAAACAAUGAAAACACUUCAAUCAAAAAACGUAUAAAGCGUCGGGUUUGUUUGUUUUUUACAAAAUUGCUAUCUAUUAGUUGUAGAUGGAAACAAAUCAAAAUAACCAACUGCCAUGUUUUAUGUCAACAGGUAUUAACCAAUACAUUUUUAUUAAUUAUUUUAAUUUGUAAAAGAUUAUUACACUAGAAUGCAAUUUAACUUAAAAGAUCAACUUUACUAAGACAAUAUUAAAGGCUGAGGCUCUUAGGAACAGAUUUGUAAUCUACAGCUUUUGACUAUUUUUGCACUGUUAAAUGUCUAGCGCUUAUUUUACAUCAAACACUUUUCACAAACUACACUUCAGACAUAUUUCUGUAGAAGUGCCUAUAAUCAGUCAAUUAAAAGGGCCCAGUUGUUAUGCAUUAUUUAUGUGGACAUUGUUAUGUGAGAACUAAAGUGGUGGCAUCUGUGUGAAAUGGUUUGAAAAAACAGCAUGCUUGCUUCUGGUUUUGCUUUAAGAGAACCAGCUGCCAGCGCACACAAUGAUGCAAUCUUUUCAAGAAGCUUAAAACUCAUGCUCAAUCUACGUGUCGGAGACUCACAAACGGAUGGCUGGUUCUUUACAGUGGUCCCCCAGUACCCCAGCAAGGCUGACCUUCACCUAUAAUCCAACCCAGAAUUUCACUCUUUAGAUCAUCUUUAAAAAGUUUUAAGAUAGAGAAACCUAAAAAAAAAAAGUAGCUGCCAUAACAUACCAUGUCUCAUUUGAAAAUCCUAAGCUAAAAUGCUAAUAAAGAGGGCAGCUAUUUCUUCUUUUAGUGUUUUGUUAUCUGAAGAACAGGUUAGAUUAGAACCUGGGAGCGGAGUUAACUGAAAUGACAUUGAACAUGACUUUGCAGUUGCCAUAGGUAAAGAAAAGACAUGGUAUCAAUGCUUCUAGGGUGUUGCUUUGCUUUGUUUUUACCCCAUGCUUUUGGAUAAGUCUUUUAUUUAAUGUCUGCCUGUAGACAACCAGUGUGGAAAAAUGACAUUGCCUGUUUGCACUGAGUUCAGGUUUGGUUUAAAAUAUAUUAAAUAACAGAAUAAAUAUUAUGAUCUAACAUGGCCAAGCUUGUAGUGAACAUGCAUAUACCUUCCCGUCUUUGCUCUGGGGAUAUCUUAAUUUCCCUUUUUUCCUUCAUUUCUUUCCAUAUAUAAUGUUUUCUUUUGCCCUUCAGAAGAAAAAAUUGUCCUCGUCAAUCUAUCUCUUGCCUUCAUCCUUCUUUUUCUCUAAAUUGCCCAUUCUGUCCUACCCUCACUCACUCCAGGGCAUAUCCACUCAUGCCUCAAGACAAAGGAUUAUCUUGAUCCUUGUGUUAGAACAGCGGUGUUCAUUUGUGUCUUCCACCGUUUUUCCUUUCCAUUGAGAAAAGCUAAUCUGGUCUUGUUGGAUUGUUGGAAAAAUGCAUUUUGAAGAGAUCAUAUGUAUGAGGCAAACUUCUUUUGGCUCGGUUCCAUUUGACGCUCAUUCACAAAAUACCCAAGUAAAACAAGUGUCAUUGUUAAGAACCAAAUUAAGAUAAUUGAAUAAAUAAAUGAGGUUUGCCUUUUGCCUGUUUUCUUGCUGUUCUCCCACCACCACCACCCCACCCCGCCGCCUUGGAUGAAGGACUAUCAUCUUCUCAAUUGAGAAGCAGCAAUACAGAGCAUCAUGAAUAUGGUUCUCCAGUCAGUGGAAUUCUGUGUAGUGGGUAUCCUGCUCACCAUAAAGCCUAUGCAGCAGUAGAGCAAUAUACAUUUUAACUUUUCCUUUUUAAGAUCUAGUUCACUUCUAUUUUAUAAAAGGUUUUUUUUUAGUUUACUUAUAUUAGGAAAAAAAGAAGAAGAAGAAAUCAUAACAGUAGUUUGAAGGAAACUUUUGUUCCCCUAAGUGAUGGUUUUCUGCUUUCCCUAGUCUUGGAUUUCCAUCCUGUACUGGGCUGUGCUGUAUCAAGAAUGACACUCUUCCCCUGGAUCUACAUGCUUCAGGAGGCAACAAGGAUCUCCUACCACAUCUCUGCAGCCUGCGGGGUAGGUUUCCUCCUGUUUGUUUGUGUGUGUGUGAAGGGGGAGUCUACAGACCCCCACUGGGACUGCUACCUUGUGACUUUCAGAUUCAGAGCCAACAGAGGACUAUUUUUCACCUCAGUUUGGAUCUAUUUACAUGCUAAUACUAAGUGGAAAAUGAAAUUAUUUUUUUUAGCAAAAUAAAGGAUAAAUAGCAGAGAGGACACUAGAGUUGCCCUUGUGCUCAAUUUUAAUGAAGAGCCUUACUGUAAAACAGACCUUUCCAGACACUAAGAUGAAGGGAGGAAGGAAUUAAAAAGAAAGGACUAAGGCUGCAAAACAUCUGUUUCAUGAAUUGGAUGUUCUUAUAAAAAGUAAAAUUCCUGGUAUCAGCCAUUAGGGUAGCGGAAAGUUCUCUAGGAUUUUAUAACAUUUCUCCUUAAGCGAAAACAGUACUCUGGAAAAUUUAAUAGCAACAAAAGUAAAAGCAAAAGCUGCCUCUGAUUUAGGAGUAGGAAGAGACAGUGAGCAGGAAGCAGUUACAAAGAACUCAAGCUUUUGUUCACUCAAACAUCUUUACAACUAAAUAGCACUUGUUAAUCACUUCACAAUGUUCACGCUUUGUAUUUCACACUUCUUGGAGAAAAUGGACAAUUAAUAAUUUGCACAUGGACAGCGAUUACAGAGAACAGCAAAAUUAAGGAAUACUUUUAAAAAAUUUGGGAACAUUGAGAAAGCAAAUGUUGAGAUUUCUCCUACCAAGGAGUAUGUUAAUGAACUAGACUCUGUUUUGAAAAUAACAGUAGCUUUCUACCAUUCUAAAAAAAUAGUAAUCAGAUUUAAUAUUUUAGAAAUAAAUUCUAUAGAAUAUAUUCUCUGAGUUAAUUCUAGUUUUUCUAAGUAUUUUACAUCAAAUGUUGUGCAACCAUAGUACGGUAGAUGACAGAAUUACUCUUUAGCCUCAGUGGGAAAGCCUCACACCCCUAAACAUUGAACCAUUUCCCAUACCAUCCUCUUCUGCCCCUGUUCCCAACUGCUUCAGGAAAUUAAACAACUGGCACAUUUUUUUCAUGAGUUUAUACAACACAUGAGCUAUAAUAUGGGCGUUUCUUAUUUAGCAAAUGCCUUUUAAAACAGUACCAUGGGCGCCUCUUGCUUUAGCUCUGAGUAAGGGCAUCUGCUUUCCUGCAGGAGCAGCCUCGGGAAGCAGUUUCAACUGAGAGAAUUCAGCUGGCAAAAGAAGAUAACACGCGGGGGAAUAAGACUGCCUGUUGCUGCCAAGUAUAGCGUUGCAGGCAAACUACAAUCUUGCUGCUCAAAUGUUAAGCACUCAACAGUGGCUAAAAAUAGAGGGGGUAAUAGCUCCCUAAUCAGUUCUGCCUGGCCCCGGGACAAUGGAGAGAUUAUUUACAGCAGUUUCAGGUCUCCAUGAGGUGAAUGCUGUAACUGCUCAGCUUAACAAAGGCACCUGUGGAACCAUACCAAACCUGCCAUGAAUUUCUCCUCCUCCUGCUGCCAAUCGUAAGUGCUUUGCUGCACAGCGCAGAGCAUUCGGGAAUGGGCUCCAGUCACAUGCUGAAUCCCGUGUGCGUCCAGCAGGCUGGAAAGUCAAAUGCCUGGGCAGCAAGCGGGAUUACACAGCAGUCUGCCAUUUCAAAGCACUACAGCUCCUGCCUCCUGCGCUGGAUGACUUCCUUAUCGUCUCCUCUGAUAUUGUUUUCUCGAUUUUGUCACACAAAGAACAAAUGAAUUAAUGAAAGAUUCAAACAUUGCUCAAACAAGUAUUUGGGUAACUACAGAGGGAGGAAGAUUAUCAAGAACCAUCAAAUGCACUUUCCAAUACAGAACUUCAGGGAAACAUUAAGUUCUCUUGAUUGUGACAAUAUUGCUCAUCUGAAUUAAACUUGAUAUGUAAAAUUUC
Long non-coding RNA from Falco peregrinus (peregrine falcon), 4254 nucleotides. RefSeq lists it as uncharacterized. The transcript is spliced from 3 exons. NCBI's taxonomy places the organism in Eukaryota, Metazoa, Chordata, Aves, Falconiformes, Falconidae. The record is from RefSeq and is a predicted model, not a curated record.